AGUGAAGCUGUGUGGGGAUCUUUCGAUUCCCUAGCAUAGUUGACUUGUCAUUCAUCUCAUUUUCUUGUUCAAAAUACAAAAUCAAAGUCUAGUGAAGCCGUGUGAGGCCUAUUUCGAUUCACUAGCAACUUGCUAUCCAAUAUGUUGUUCUUUUGUUGGUUUAAUAUAUGUAUAGCUAAAUCUGUUUGCAUGAGAUUGAGCAAGUAAGUAGGAGGUAAGAGAACAGUAUAAGUAGAUAAGAUUGUAUGACGUUGUAAUAUUUGAUUAAGAUUGCCCAUGCCUAUUAUAUGACUUUAUCCCCCC
RNAcentral lists this long non-coding RNA (303 nucleotides) under Capsicum annuum. RNAcentral's name for it is "long non-coding RNA (CANN_LNC008397)". The record is from RNAcentral. Lineage: Eukaryota; Viridiplantae; Streptophyta; Magnoliopsida; Solanales; Solanaceae.